GAGUUUUUGAAUGAAUUGUAGAUAACGCUGAGAAGAAGGUGAAGAGUUCGUAUUUUGAUUUGCCGGCUAUGAAUGUAUCCGUUGCAUUUUCUCAAGCAACUCCAGCCUCUAAGUUCCCACCCUGCACUUCAGACUAUUAUCAUUUCAAUGAACUAUUGACUCGGGAAGAGCAGGCUGCGCGGAAGAGAGUGAGGGAGUUCAUGGAGAAAGAAGUUGCCCCCAUUAUGACAGAGGUUUGUCUAUCUUCAUGUUUGUUUGUUUACUUUGAUAGUAUCAUUGAGUGACAUCAUCCUUCUUUCUUUGAUUUUUACUCAUCAGUACAUUCCAUAUCAUUCCAAAGCUUGGAGCUUCCAUUCCAAAGCUUGGACCUUUAGGUGUUGUUGGUGGCUCUAUUAAGGGUUAUGGCUGUCCUGGCCUCUCCAUCACAGCCAAUGCCAUUGCAACAGCAGAGAUAUCUAGAGUUGAUGCAAGUUGUGGGACUUUUAAUUUGGUGCAUACCUCUUUGGGCAUGCUCACUAUUGGAGAAGUACGAAGACUACUUGAAGCUUAAAUCAAGAGUUGAGAUCCUACAAUAUUCACAACGGCACUUGCUAGGUGAGCCGGUAUGGGAGUAGAUGAGCUUGAGCAGCUAGAACUUCAAUUAGAUACAUCAGUAAGGCAAAUAAGAUCCACAAUGGUAUCUUAGAUGCACACGACAUGUCAACUUCCUCAGACUGUGGAGUUCCUUGGCACUGGAGAAGUUGUUAGAAUUGAAACUACUAAUGGGUGGUGCCUGCCCGUGGAUUCUCUUCCUUCACAUGUUCAGUACCUAAAGAUGUCUGCACCGUCAAGAAGCCUCACAAUGGUUAGCUUCGCAUCAUUGGGAGUGCCCAAGCCUAAUGCCCAUUCAUGCUCCUUUUGUUUCUACUUUUCUUCUAAGUUAGAAUAACCUGUUUAAGCAAGUCCCUUCCUCUCUGGAUCUUUUUGUGUGGUCAACGUUUCAUAAUAUUUUCCAUGUUUAAUCUUCGCAAAAUUUUCAUUUUGCUUUGCUUGGUCACUUAAAAGUCUAUUGGGCCCAAUCUUAAUUUAUAAAAACGUAAUUACGAAAGCU
Molecule: RNA transcript, 1090 nt
Organism: Brassica rapa (field mustard)
Lineage: Eukaryota; Viridiplantae; Streptophyta; Magnoliopsida; Brassicales; Brassicaceae
Gene name: acyl-coenzyme A oxidase 4, peroxisomal-like
Source: RefSeq, a predicted model, not a curated record